This 231-nucleotide ribosomal RNA is filed under the name uncultured bacterium. RNAcentral describes it as "partial 16S ribosomal RNA". It matches the Rfam family "Bacterial small subunit ribosomal RNA", at positions 123 to 354 of the family's 1533-position model. The record is from RNAcentral.
AACCUGCCUCAUACAGGGGGAUAACAGUUGGAAACGACUGCUAAUACCGCAUAAGCGCACAGUACCGCAUGGUACGGUGUGAAAAACUCCGGUGGUAUGAGAUGGACCCGCGUCUGAUUAGCUAGUUGGCGGGGUAACGGCCCACCAAAGCGACGAUCAGUAGCCGACCUGAGAGGGUGACCGGCCACAUUGGGACUGAGACACGGCCCAAACUCCUACGGAAGGCAGCAG